GAUGAACGCUGGCGGCGUGCCUAAUACAUGCAAGUCGAGCGAACAGACGAGGAGCUUGCUCCUCUGACGUUAGCGGCGGACGGGUGAGUAACACGUGGAUAACCUACCUAUAAGACUGGGAUAACUUCGGGAAACCGGAGCUAAUACCGGAUAAUAUAUUGAACCGCAUGGUUCAAUAGUGAAAGACGGUUUUGCUGUCACUUAUAGAUGGAUCCGCGCCGCAUUAGCUAGUUGUUAAGGUAACGGCUUACCAAGGCAACGAUGCGUAGCCGACCUGAGAGGGUGAUCGGCCACACUGGAACUGAGACACGGUCCAGACUCCUACGGGAGGCAGCAGUAGGGAAUCUUCCGCAAUGGGCGAAAGCCUGACGGAGCAACGCCGCGUGAGUGAUGAAGGUCUUCGGAUCGUAAAACUCUGUUAUUAGGGAAGAACAAAUGUGUACGUAACUAUGCACGUCUUGACGGUACCUAAUCAGAAAGCCACGGCUAACUACGUG
Molecule: ribosomal RNA, 497 nt
Filed under: uncultured bacterium
Lineage: Bacteria
Description: partial 16S ribosomal RNA
Rfam family: Bacterial small subunit ribosomal RNA
Source: RNAcentral